This 2684-nucleotide long non-coding RNA is filed under the name Pelobates cultripes (western spadefoot toad). The record is from RNAcentral. Lineage: Eukaryota; Metazoa; Chordata; Amphibia; Anura; Pelobatidae.
UCUAAAGGGCACUCUAACAAACCCGCAGGUAUUGAAAUCAAGGAUUUGGAGAAGCAUAAAUGUGCCAUAUAUAUUAACACCGACAUACUGCACUGUGAUCUUGUCGUAUUUCUUAUUUCCUUGGUUCCAUAUAUCAUCACUUGAGUACCACUCUGAAGUUGGAGAAUAAGGUCUGGUUGCCACGUGAAAAGUGCACGAACACCUGUUUGUUUAGAGCCUAUAUCUCAAAAGGCUCUCAUAAAUGUGAGUUGGAAUUUCACCAAAUUCAUUUAAACAUAAGACUUAACUAUAUAUGUCUUUUUACUUCCAUGUUAACAUCAUCCCUUCAUAUUGCAUUGAAGGGUAAGUGUCUCUUUAUUUUGUAGAGCUGCACUCUUACUCAGGAGUUUUAGGUUAAGGGUUAUAUCACCUAAACACUGAGUUUUGUUGUUUGAGCAAUAUGCAAAUGUUGCAAAGAUGACCUCGUAUCAUACGCUAAUUUCAUAAUAUUUGAACCUUCCUUAUUCUAUUGUCUUACUAAUGAAUCAUAGUUGAAUUCGCUCAGGUGACUGAGUUAGGAACAUCAUUUCAUAACAUGUUUGUCAUGAAGUGACAUUUAAUGGGUUAAGUAAAUAUGUAUAAAUAUCAGCUCCAGCUCAUAAUAUCUAAUUGUCGUAGUUUAAAAGGGAAACACCUUGUAAAACAGGUUUAAAUUUAGCAUAUAACAUGGCAUGAUAAGUAACGCAGAGUGAGGUCAAAGUUUGUGAUAAACAAUAACUACAACAGUGUUGUAAGUGUAAAUGUUGUGUAAGUUUUGAACACUUGACAUAUCUCCUUCCCUAAAAUAAGAUAUUUUCUUUUCCCCCGAGACCUUCCCACAGUCUCUUCAGUGUACGUGUAUAUGUCAUGAGGUAAUUUGACAACUUAAAACACAAACCACAAUAAUUAGGUUUUAAACUUUAUUGUAAUUCCUCUGCCUAAAGUAGUCAAGAAAACAAAGCACUAAGGGGAUUGUUGAUCAGUUUUGUAACUAGAAUCUGAAUGAGUGGUUUAUUCCUAACUUAGACCUUGAUCUAAUAAGCUUUCUGAAUGAUUCAGUACUCUUAGAAAAACAUUCCAAAUGAUUUAGCUACAGAAGUCACCAUUAAAGUCUAUGAGAAUGUUUGCAGAUAAAUUAUGCAAUGUUCAAUGCAGGCAGCGCGCUUACAGCUCUAUUAAUGCAGCAGUCCCAAUAGGAAAGCAUUGAUAUAGUGCUUUCCCAUGAGCAAGCAUAAAUGUGUUCAUGAUGCGUGCCGUGCUUGCGCAUUAGGUACCUCUAUGAGCAGUGGUGAAUGAGCCUUGGCAUUGGAAAAAAGGUAAGUUAAAAACCCUCUAAAUGCCGAAUUGGGAGGGGUGAUCUAACACCACUAGGGUCAGGGACACUAUAGCAUUCGGAAUACAUGUUCAUAUUCCUGAAACUAUGUGGUCCUUUAAAUUGAGGCUUUAUUGUGUUUGAAUAAGGUACUCGAAAAUUCUAAAGCCCUAGUUAAUACUUGAAAAAAGAGAUGGAAGUUAUCAGAAAUCUAAUUUAAAUCGAAUAAUUUUAUUUUAAUGUUGUCAAGCCCUAUUGUUUAACCUUUUGAUCUUUUGUUUAAAAAAUACACAAAAAUACUCUGCUCUCAUGAAUAUCAAACAACUGCAAAUGCAACACGGAUUGAACUCCCCUCUCCCCCUCAAAAAAAAUCUUUGUUAAAUAUAUGUGUGACACAAGUUAUUAGUCAAUAUUAAUGGAGGACAAUGUGAGGUCCUGCAGCACGUAGACCAACUAUUCGAAUCCUUCUGGGCAAAGUUGGAUGCACACCUGGGGCCCACAGUGCUGAGCAACACAACCGGUACUGAGAGCUCACAGAAUUAGUCCAUACCGACAACGCUGUCGGCAACCUAUCUCAGGACAAGCAGUGUGUUUCCCAUCACACCACACUGGAGACCAAAGCUGUCAGAGAGAUCAUGGCAGACCCCAGUGAGUCUGCCAAAUACCAUACUGUGCCCACGUAUUAUGCCAUAUGUGAGCUACUAGUCCUGACAGCAGGACUUUUUUGGCGGGUGUCUAUGCGUACCCAACAGGGCAUAGGAUAAAACCAAAGCCCAGCACCAGAAUCCUCUGCAGGCAGCGCGCCUGUCCCGAAAAAGUUGAUGUACCCCACAAGGGAAUCUUGCUUUUCUUCCUCUAAGUUGGACUCACAGCUAGCUUGUCUCCUGGAGUUGUUUUCCUUGUUAGCUCAUCCAAGUGCAUUAAAUUUAUCCUUUAAUUACUCUAGUGUUAUACCUCGCAUGCAUUGUGGAUGCUCCUCUUCAGUUCACCCAACAGGUUUUCUAUGGGGUUCAAGUCAUGGGACUGGGAUGGUCAUGGCAGGACCUUGAUUUUUGUGGUCAGUAAACCAUUUUUCUGUUAAUUUUCGUGUAUGUUUUGCAUACAUGAGUUAAACACUGGUAACUUAAUAACAAUUCUCCCAUUGAAUUAGCCUUUCUUUUACUAGAAUCUAGCUCUCCUGACCUCCCAGGAAGUGUAAUCUAGCCAAGGAGUCCAGGUAGCAGUACAUUUGAUGAUCGGCGCACCCGGGCGCUUACAGUAAGUUGGGAUCAGGGACUUUGCGGCUGGAAGCAGGUGCUUGGUUAGAGACUUUUUAUAUGCCUUCAGGGGCAUACUGGUCUGGUGUAGGAGAAUG